RNAcentral lists this ribosomal RNA (342 nucleotides) under uncultured Lachnospiraceae bacterium. RNAcentral's name for it is "partial 16S ribosomal RNA". The record is from RNAcentral. Lineage: Bacteria; Bacillati; Bacillota; Clostridia; Lachnospirales; Lachnospiraceae.
GGAGUUUGGACCGUGUCUCAGUUCCAAUGUGGGGGACCUUCCUCUCAGAACCCCUACUGAUCGCAGGCUCGGUGGGCCGUUACCCCGCCGACAACCUAAUCAGACGCGAGUCCAUCCUUUACCACCGGAGUUUUUUCACACAUUAUCAUGCGAUAUCGUGCGCUUAUGCGGUAUUAGCACCUAUUUCUAAGUGUUAUCCCCCGGUAAAGGGCAGGUUACUCACGCGUUACUCACCCGUCCGCCACUAGAAUUACAACUUAGCAAGCUAAAAAGCAAUUCCCGUUCGACUUGCAUGUGUUAAGCACGCCGCCAGCGUUCAUCCUGAGCCAUGAUCAAAACUCU